This 137-nucleotide ribosomal RNA is filed under the name uncultured eukaryote. RNAcentral describes it as "partial 18S ribosomal RNA". It matches the Rfam family "Eukaryotic small subunit ribosomal RNA", at positions 1299 to 1458 of the family's 1831-position model. The record is from RNAcentral.
UGGUGGGGUGACUUGUCUGCUUAAUCGCGAUAACGAACGAGACCUUAACCUGCUAAAUAGCCCGCAUUGCUCCGGCAGUGCGCUGGCUUCUUAGAGGGACUUUCGGCUCAAGCCGAAGGAAGUUUGAGGCAAUAACA